RNAcentral lists this long non-coding RNA (518 nucleotides) under Fukomys damarensis (Damara mole-rat). RNAcentral describes it as "lncRNA (ENSFDAG00000022315.1)". The record is from RNAcentral. Lineage: Eukaryota; Metazoa; Chordata; Mammalia; Rodentia; Bathyergidae.
AUUUAGAGCUGAAUGACUAUGUUCAGAGACGGCACAAAAUGACACCCUCCACCUUUUCAUGAAGCCACUUGGUUUUGUCAUUUUUUUUUUUUUAUCCGACAGAAAUAAUUGAUAAACCGAACGAGCAGCAGCCGUCCACCUUCAAGGAGGGCGCCUCCUCACCACCUGGUUAAAAUUCCUCCUCCUCGCCCCACCUCCCUACAUCCAUUUUGCUCUGUGCUGUUUAAACAAUACUUCAUCAAAUGCAGCCCGGAGCAAAUAAGAAAGCUCAGUAGAGUAAAUAAAAAGUCAAAAAAAAAAUCACCGGCUGGAGGCAGUCUAGGUCUUUGGAUCCAAUUUCAACUGGCCCAAGUUGGUGCACACUGCACAGCAAGCCAUGAGAAACACAGGUCUCCUCCUGGAAACCAGCCAGUCUGACAUCUAUGGUGUCCUCAGCUGUGCCACAGGGACUAGAUUUUGAAAAGGAUAUCUCAUUUGGGGAAAAAUAUUAAUAACAACAACAAUCCAACCCACAGGCU